RNAcentral lists this small RNA (962 nucleotides) under Malus domestica (apple). RNAcentral's name for it is "sRNA MD01G0047700". The record is from RNAcentral. Lineage: Eukaryota; Viridiplantae; Streptophyta; Magnoliopsida; Rosales; Rosaceae.
GUUGCUCAGGGCCUCACCGUUAGCGGCUCCAACUCCACAUCCAGGCACCGGUCAAAUUCGAACUCCCACCAUCUCAUUGCAGCUCCAAAAAGGGCAGCAACGCCUUGCCCUGCAACUCCAGCUCCAUCACCGACCACCUUCUUCAGCCUCCACCAACUUGUUAAUCAGAAGUCGCCGUGUGACCCAUGCUUGACACACUGCUGCUUGCACUGGUGGCCCUUGUGCCAUGAGCACAUGGAGAUGAAGGGAUAAACCCCAAAGAUGUUGGGUUUAGUCACACUACAGUAUAGCACUGGUGAAUUGAAGCUGCGGCUCCACUGUUAUUAACAGCCGUUAGCGGCGAUUGUUAGUCGCUGGGAGAAGGUGAAAUCUAUUGCUGAGCUACCUCAACUCUCUUCAGAACACAAGGCAGCCAGCAACCACUGAAAGCCAAUUGCCGUAUACACUCAAAAUGUUGCAGAGUGCAGGAAGUUAUGGAUUUUCUGAGUUCUGAAAGCGAAUUGAGAGUGCUGCAAAUCAGAAAUGAUGUUACACGAGGAUGUGUCUUCGGGGCCAAGGAAGCGAAGGACAACACAUUUUGUUGUGUAGUUAUUUUGUAAAGGCUGGUAGUAUUGCAUUCGUUUAUUCUUUUUCCUCAUUAUUGCAAUAAGAAGCCCAAGCUGAAGAGAAAUAACAGGUUGAGUGAUAUGAAUUAGGAUUUGUUGUUGUAGGUUCUUCUUGGUUGUGUCUCAUUUUUUGUCAUCCAUUUCAAAUGAGCCCAAAAAGAAGGGACAAGAAAUGGGAGUGUAAAGGAAAACUAGAACAAGAAAGAACACGUUCUAGUUUGGUUUUGUUGUUUCUUUGUUUUAGUUUGUAGUUAGAAGUUGAAAUCUGGUUAUAAGAAUUGUGAGUGUAAAGGAUAAGUGGCUUAAAUUCACCUGUUAUAUUUUUUUUGGAAUUGUUUCAUUGAUUUCUCAAAUUUU